CCUGUCCAUACCGUCAGUUCCUCCCUGGAUUGCUCAGGAGCGCGCUUGCCACAGCUGGCCAACGGCCUCCGUCGCGGACGCCUGCGCCACCGCAGCUCCGGGCUUCCCCGGCGUGCGCGGAUCCCUUGGGUGGAUGCGGGCCUCCUUCCUGAGUUCACCGGUGUUCGAAGCGUGGCAACUGGUGGCCGGAGCCACCGGCAAACCUCGUCGGAGCCUGCUGCUCCCUCGGCUGCGCGCGGGCAAGAGCUGGAAGAAGGAGACGACCGGCCAGGCGGGCCCCACCGCCCGCGCGACCCCACCCGUCAGCCUCAGGCGUUGACUCUGUCUCCCCGGAUGACGUGGUAAGGGGAAACGUACAAUUCGAAGUACGUUUUCCGUUCGGAAAGCGUAUUCACGUGCUUCUUCAGAGAGGAAUAUGUUUCCUCUACUCCGAAGACGAGUUAUCUGAAUGUGUUUUUUAUUUUUCCAGCCAGGGGCCUGUUCGUAGAAGUUCUUUUUACAGAUUGGUCCCUGGAAUUCGUCUGGCUAUAUCUUUUCACCCGUAACUCCAAAUGAGGUGAUUCCAAAGCCCAUUUCUUUGUCUCGUUGAGCCCGUCAUGUUGGUAUCAUUUUCAUAAUGCUUUCACAUAGUGAAAAUGACCACUUUGCCCUUGCCCGUAAACAGCCCCCUCGGGAGAGAACUGUUUCCAGCGAAUCUUUCCGCGAUCCUUCUGUACUUCUUCCCGGUGACCUCACUACUGCAGGAUGCUGCUAACACGACACUACGAUCAGAGACCCUUCGACAAAACUAUGUGCUAUGCCAUAAUCGCAAACGGCGGUGUAAAAAACCGUCAAAAAGGUGCAAAACGUUUGCGAUGGAGGAUGCAUCAAACACGAUUCAGAUUUUAGUUGCGUGUCUGAUUCAGGGCAUAUGGUUCAUUUCAAUUAACCGUUUUCGAUGAGGAGGAACAAAAGAAACCGGCAGCCAGAUGAAGGUGUGUGCGAUGUACAACAUACGGUUCACUCGGAUGAACUGUUUGUGAUUAGGCAACACAAAAGAAACGGGCAGCCAGAUGAAGGUGUGUGCGGUAUGCAACAUACGGUUCACUCGGAUGAACUAUUUGUGAUUAGGUAACACAGAAAAAAUGGUCAGCUAGAUCAAGGUGUGUGUGAUGGAUGGCAUAUGCUUCAGAAAGAUUAACUGUUUGCGACUAGGCAACAGAACAGAAACGGGUAAGCCAAAUCAAAGUGUCUACGAUUGAUGGCAUACACUUCACAUGGAUGAACUGUUUGCAAUUAGCCAUAACAAACUGAAACGGUUAGAUAUAUCAACGUGUGUGCGCUAGACGGGCACAACCAUUCUAAUUAAAAGAAGCAUGCGCGAUGGUAAUAACGAGC
Molecule: long non-coding RNA, 1377 nt
Filed under: Triticum aestivum (bread wheat)
Lineage: Eukaryota; Viridiplantae; Streptophyta; Magnoliopsida; Poales; Poaceae
Description: long non-coding RNA (TAES_LNC005339)
Source: RNAcentral